CUUACAGCAUCUACUUGCAUCUGUAUAUCCACAAGUGAAACUCAGAGCUUAUACAAGUAUGCUGAAGGUUGCAGGGUGUAAGCUUAUACCCCAAGGAGAGUAGCCCAUGUGUCUGGAGGGGAGGCCAAAGGCAUUCCAGAUGAAAUCCAUCUUUUACAUGUGCGUGUUCCAAUGACACAUGAAAGGGUCAGAGAGGGUCAGUUAAAGGCUAUAGCUGGAGCUAUAGAAAAAAAAGAGCUGCUGAGAGCCAUGGAUCCAUGCUUCAGAGUGCAGAAGAAAACAGUUGGUUGUGUCUUUAUUGCAGGUGUACUUUUAAAGAGUGAAGCGCCAUAAAUCCAUAGCACAAUAAUGAAAGGAAUCUGUCCUUUUCUUGGUUUCACACAGCUGUGGUUUUGCUGCAAGUAAUCCUGAUCACUGGUGGCGAUGUAUGGUGCUGCCAGAGGUCCAGCUGUAGCCUGAGAGGCAGCACAAAUGCAAACUGAGGUUUUCACGCAGCGACCUGUGCUCCAGCUCCCAGACAUCUGCAGGUGCUUCUGAAUGUGCCCUUCCCAACGGUAAGUGCCUCUCUGCCCUUGUAUCCAACAGCUCUGACCUUCUGCCAAUGAGAAAUAAGGUACAGCUUCCACUGUGCCAGAGUCUGAUGCAAAUUUUGUACAGACGGUUAAGCACGAAGUAGCUGACCUAAUUACAGGAUUAAGAUCCUGUCCUUUAAGACACCAUGUUUGGUAACAGAUUAUGGUUUCAUUCUGAUUUCAUUUCUUUUGGAGAGAGAACCACCCACGGGAAAUGAAGACAAUUUUGAGCGUGUCUGAAAAAUGGAAUGACUGGAACUUCCUAAAUUUAGAACUGAAAUCUUGCUCCUGUCCUCAAAUCAACAGGCCAUUGAAUGCUGCACAUGAUUAAAAUAUAGAGGGAAACAUCUCUGAGGCUUUACUUUUUUACAGUAGCUAUUGACCUGUGAUAUCACAGAUGCUAAUCAUGCUCUUUCUGCGCUAUCUUGGAUUUACAAACACAUUUAAAUCAGUGGAUAUUAAGAUUAAUGGUGGGACCAUUACAUAGCAGCCUUCCUGUUCUUCCUUCACUUCCCAGCUGCCGUUUAUAGAAACAACCUUCUGUCUUUCAGUUUUAAAAGAUACAGCCUUAUAUCCUGGAAGAUUAGUUCUACCAGUAUUUUUAGAUAGGGGUUGCGUCAUGUGCAUAAGCAAGCAGUCUCACCAGUUUGGAAGGGCACAAAUUUGAAUCAUCCCAUUUUAUUUACUUUUUAAGCUUAAAAAACUUGACAAAGAAUCCCAAGCCUAAUUAUAAGUGAUCCUCCCCAAGGGUUCUAGUGAAUGGAAACUGAUUUUUGUUUUAUGCAGAUGUCAAAUGAACUAAUCUAGCACAUCACUGGAAUAGGCAUAUGUAAUAAAAAUUUCAUAGUCUGUUUACCUGUCUAAUUGAAUAAAUGGCCCAAACCGGGAUGAAUGCUUAAUUCAUUAACAUGCUCUUACCAGAAGUGCUGCUGGGAAUAAUCACCCUCACACUAUGCACAGUUUGUGGUUUAUCUUCUUAAAAUAAGGCAUAAGUGCUGAGGGACCGAGUGAGGGUAGAGGACUAUUAAUUUUGCUAUCUGAAAAGUGAAGAGAAAACCCAAUUAAAAAAAGAACCCAAUGUUAGUCGGUUGGACCUUAUUUCUAGAUGAUGGUAUUCAUUCUGUCACUGCAACUUGAUGAGCUGUUUAUACAGAUUUUUUGCUUGUUUCAAGGACAAUGCCUGUAGUUGAGAUUU
Coturnix japonica (Japanese quail) is the source of this 1767-nucleotide non-coding RNA. The record is from RefSeq and is a predicted model, not a curated record. NCBI's taxonomy places the organism in Eukaryota, Metazoa, Chordata, Aves, Galliformes, Phasianidae.